RNAcentral lists this ribosomal RNA (458 nucleotides) under uncultured bacterium. Its description in RNAcentral is "partial 16S ribosomal RNA". It matches the Rfam family "Bacterial small subunit ribosomal RNA", at positions 338 to 795 of the family's 1533-position model. The record is from RNAcentral.
CCUACGGGCGGCAGCAGUGAGGAAUAUUGGUCAAUGGGCGAGAGCCUGAACCAGCCAAGUCGCGUGAGGGAGUACUGCCCUAUGGGUUGUAAACCUCUUUUGUCGGGGAGCAAAAGCCGGACGUGUCCGGCUGUGAGAGUACCCGAAGAAAAAGCAUCGGCUAACUCCGUGCCAGCAGCCGCGGUAAUACGGAGGAUGCGAGCGUUAUCCGGAUUUAUUGGGUUUAAAGGGUGCGCAGGCGGAUUUUUAAGUCAGCGGUAAAAUCGUGGGGCUCAACCCAAUCCAGCCGUUGAACCUGGGGAUCUAGAGUGUGCGAGAGGUAUGCGGAAUGCGUGGUGUAGCAGUGAAAUGCAUAGAUAUCACGCAGAACCCCGAUUGCGAAGGCAGCAUACCGGUGCACAACUGACGCUCAGGCACGAAAGCGUGGGUAUCGAACAGGAUUAGAUACCCUAGUAGUC